RNAcentral lists this ribosomal RNA (739 nucleotides) under Hattorianthus erimonus. RNAcentral's name for it is "eukaryotic LSU rRNA". It matches the Rfam family "Eukaryotic large subunit ribosomal RNA", at positions 71 to 812 of the family's 3401-position model. Lineage: Eukaryota; Viridiplantae; Streptophyta; Jungermanniopsida; Pallaviciniales; Moerckiaceae. The record is from RNAcentral.
AGGAUUKCCCUAGUAGCGGCGAGCGAACCGGAAAGAGCYCAGCUUGAAAAUCKSGCGGCCUCGCCGUGCGAAUUGUARUCUGGAGAAGMGKCCUCUGCAGCGGACCGGGCCCAAGUUCCCUGGAACGGGACGUCAKAGAGGGUGAGAGCCCCGUCKAGCUCGGACCCUGCUGCUCCACGAGGCGCUGUCAACGAGUCSGGCUGUUUGGGAAUGCAGCCCUAAGUGGGUGGUAAAUUCCAUCCAAGGCUAAAUACGGGCAAGAGACCGAUAGCGAACAAGUACCGCGAGGGAAAGAUGAAAAGGACUUUGAAAAGAGAGUUAAAAAGUGCUUGAAAUUGCUGGGAGGGAAGCGAAUGGAGGUUGCGUGUGCGCCCCGGUUGGAUGCGGAACGGCGAGAGCUGGUCCGCCGCUCAACGCGGAGUGCUGGUCAGCGUGGGCUGCGCCGGCGGGACAAGAGCGAACUUGCGUCGCUCGCCUAUGCCGUUGGCGUGGCCGAGGAACGAAGCGCGCGCCUUUUGGCGGCCCCUCGGGGACCUGCGUGCUCGGGACGCUGGCGUAUUGAACUUUCCAUCCGACCCGUCUUGAAACACGGACCAAGGAGUCUAACAUGUAUGCGAGCCGGUGGGUGGCAAACCCACGGAGGCGAAAGUAACCUGACAGGUGGGAUCCUCCUCGAGAGGUGCACCAUCGACCGACCAUGAUCUUCUGUGAAAGGUUCGAGUGAGAGCAUACAUGCUGG